CUAAGAAUCUUCCGCAAUGGGCGAAAGCCUGACGGAGCGACGCCGCGUGGACGAAGAAGGCCGGAAGGUUGUAAAGUCCUUUUCUCGAGGGAGAAUAAGGCAGGCAGGAAAUGGUCUGCUGAUGACGUGAAUCGAGGAAUAAGCCCCGGCUAAUUACGUGCCAGCAGCCGCGGUAACACGUAAGGGGCGAGCGUGGUUCGGAAUUAUUGGGCGUAAAGGGCGCGCAGGCGGCCAUGUAAGGCUGGUGUGAAAGGUCACGGCUUAACCGUGGGGACGCACUGGAAACUAUGUGGCUUGAGUCCAAGAGGGGGAGCUGGAAUUCCAGGUGUAGGGGUGAAAUCUGUAGAUAUCUGGAAGAACACCGGAGGCGAAGGCGAGCUCCUGGCUAUGGACUGACGCUGAGGCGCGAAAGCGUGGGGAGCAAACA
Molecule: ribosomal RNA, 427 nt
Filed under: uncultured bacterium
Lineage: Bacteria
Description: bacterial SSU rRNA
Rfam family: Bacterial small subunit ribosomal RNA
Source: RNAcentral